This is a long non-coding RNA of Triticum urartu, 3193 nucleotides long. RefSeq lists it as uncharacterized. Lineage: Eukaryota; Viridiplantae; Streptophyta; Magnoliopsida; Poales; Poaceae. The record is from RefSeq and is a predicted model, not a curated record.
CCGUGAUCGCACUCACGCGGCGGUUAUAGCCGGGUGCUUCUACAGUUCUGCUCCUGUGAAAGCCUAGAAGAGUAUUCGGUGUCCGCUCCCCAAACACCAGAGGUUGAAGCGCGCAGCUGAAGAUUGAGGAACUGCGUUUGUUCAUAGGGCGGCGGCACACGGCAAUCUAAGAAUGGAUGCGUACAGAAUCCCGCCUUCGAGCCCGAGCGCCCUGACGGAUUGACGACCUAUCAUACGAAUUCGGAAGAUCAAGAGGGAAUUGGUUUCCCUGCAGGAGGGGUCGUUGCCUUCUUUUUUGUAUCUCUAUUAUUAAAAAAAAAUCGAACGUCGUGAUGGUUCGACCUCCCACAUUCCUCGUACAAUUCUCACUUACCCGGCACGAUAAAACGAUUCCCACUUCCCCCAUGAUAAAAAGAAAAAAAAAACCACGUACAAAAAACAACCACGAUCAGGCACCCACGUCCCUCACCCCAUCUCCCGAUCCCAUCUGUCUACCGAGAAAAAUCCCUCGGCCGUCCAGCCCGAACUGCCGCGCCGGUGAAGGAGCCCACACCGAGGAGUCCCUCGAUCCAAUCCUCGCCCUCGCCAUCGCCGUCGACCCCGCCCCUCUUCCCUCCGCCGUUUAGCCCAAACCGUAGCGCCGGUGCAGGAGCCCAGGCCGCCCACGUGAAGGCAAUGGCAUAAGCCAUGUUAUCGUCUUAUCAAGGUCGAGGGGUCCCUUGCGCCAAUCCUCGCGCUCGCCCUCACCGCCAUCACCGGCGGCCCCGCCGCUCUUCCCUCCGCCUUCUAGCCCGAACCAUCCCGCGCUGGUGCAAGAGCCGAGGCCACCCACGUGAAGACAAUGCGUAAGUCACCUCAUUUUGGUCGAGCGGUCUGUCGAGCCAAACCUGGCCCUCGCCCUCGCCGGCGUCAGCGGCCCCGCCCGUCUCUAGGUGGUCAGUUACUCGAUCUCGGUCAUCCGACUCAUCUCGGGCGAGUAUGUCAUUGGUGCGGACGCCGUGUCGGACAACAACAGUGCAAGCUCAUCGCUAGCUCAUAUGAGUCUUUGGUCGGCACCCUCCUACUGCCGCUCUCUGUGUUGGUGCCGACACCACACUCCUCACUUUUCUUAGACAAAGGGAAAGACGAACGCCGGCGUCAGCAAGGUUGUCGCCCCCCCUCUCUCUUUAACUCUCUUAUUUUAUUUUUACAUCCUUGUCACAAUAUUGAUCUGUGUUGCUAUUGUUGUCUGAAUGAAGUGACCUGCUGUUGUUGUAAUAACAGAAGUGAGCUGCCGAUUUUUGAAUGAACUUGACUUGUUUGCAUAUUCUUGUAUGGGCAGAAGAAAUAUAGAAUUAACCUUGUGUACUAAUUGUUGUAUGGAUGUCGGUGGCCAUCACCUGUCAAAGGAGGGUCACGCCAGAUGUUGUGGAGGUGACGCACUCGGCCGGCGAGGAGCUCCGGGUCAAUGACUGUGGUGGCUGAUGAGCAGAGUCUACUUGUUGAACAGGUCAUCCACCGUCAUGCACAUUCUUUGCUUCGGAAGAACUUGGACUUAUUUGAUUUGGUAGUUGUGUUGGUGUCAAAUUAGCGACCGCACCAUUUUUUUGCCAGGUCUUUACUCCAAUGGAGUCACUGAGGUUGAAGUAGAAUAGGAAGAAAAAAGACAUCAUUGCAUAUUUGGGUUCAGUCACAAUGCUUCCAUAUGUUCUUGAUCCCCAGAUAUGACUUACUUCUAUAUGUACUUUUCUUGCUGGUGGAACAUAACUAGAACUAAUAUUUUGUGUGGUUUUACCAUGUUUUAAUUGUUGAAAAAAAUUUAGAAUUUGAUGCAUCAUUGAAUAUUUGGGUUCAGUGUAAUGCUUCCAUAUGUUCUUGAUCCACAGAUAUGACUUACUUCUAUAUGUACUUUUCUUGCUGGUGGAACAUAACUAGAACUAAUAUUUUGUGUGGUUUUACCAUGUUUUAAUUUUUGAAAAAAAUUAGAAUUUGAUUGUCCUUCGUGGGAUGCUCAUGUUGCAUUGUUCAGUGACUGCUUCAGGAUUACGGGAGGAAGUUGGAGUAAAUCCUUGUGUUUGGCUUCAAUUUUUGGGUUUGGAUAUCUACCCAACAUAUAAACUGACUGCUGUACAAUGGAAGUUCUGUAUUUGUGAGAUAAGUUUCUAUAAUGCAGAACUGCAAGAAUAAUCCUAGAACCAUCUUUAUAGUCUGAUGUUACUUAAUAAUAAAUAAUUAGUUACAUAUACCAGAGGAUUUAAAUGCUUAGCAUUUCAUGUCUUAGUUAGAAAUUGAUGUGUGAUUUCAAGGCUCAUAUUGGCUUUUCAUUAUCCUUCUUUUUCUCUGAAAGGCUAGAGAGAAAGUGUUAAAGGAAGCUUCACAGUUUUGUCAAUGAUCAAAAUUUUCUAGCUAAUUAUUAUUUACCCAUGUUUGCAUGAUGUUAUGUAAGUGAUUCUCUCUCUUUUUCUUUCUUUUCCACAUUUUAAAACUGCAGAUAUUGACUAUGAGAUGAAAUUGUCAUUGUUCAUAAUUUAAAUGUUUGACAAAAGGCCGGAGCGAAGAAUGCUAGCUUCUUAAUGCUACUUCACGGAUUUCCAUGUCGAUGUUGCCCCCUUUUGGACGGAGAUGGUUGUGUCAAAGGUGUCAAUGGCACAGGUUCUUCGCCAUAUCAGGCCUUUCAUGUGCCUACCUCAUGAAGCCAUUGAUCUGGUACUACAUAGAUUGAGGACGGGCUGAAGAAAAUGUGAGCCAUGGGAGGAGAGAUUUACUGGAGCAAGGUGAACGACCGUGCAGCGACCAGAUGUGAGACGCCGGGAAUGCAUGUUUUUCGUUCUUGAUGCCUUGGCUGUCGUACACAAAAGUGGAUGGGAGAUCUGCAAGUUAAAGAAAAUAUCAUGGUAUUCCUCUCAUGCACCUUGGUGUCACAUAAACCCUCAUAACCUCUGCAUCUCUGCCUUUACCGUUCGUCGCUUCUCUGUUCCUGACAAGUAUGGACUUCUCUUUCACUUCCUUGCUUGUGUAUAGAUGCUAUGAUGUAUUGUAAUAUGGAUUGGAUUUCAUAUACAUGUACUAUAUUUAUUUGAAGUGUUACACACAUGGCUCUUGGUCGUGUAACGACUCUUCUUCUAAUUGAUACGACAACAUUUCUUGUUCAUGGUGUAACUAUGAUCAUGCUUUAAGUAAUUUUUAUUACUGAUGUGAAUGCACUCAUGAUCUG